CCUACGGGUGGCUGCAGUGGGGAAUAUUGCACAAUGGGCGCAAGCCUGAUGCAGCCAUGCCGCGUGUGUGAAGAAGGCCUUCGGGUUGUAAAGCACUUUCAGCGGGGAGGAAGGCGGUGAGGUUAAUAACCUCAUCGAUUGACGUUACCCGCAGAAGAAGCACCGGCUAACUCCGUGCCAGCAGCCGCGGUAAUACGGAGGGUGCAAGCGUUAAUCGGAAUUACUGGGCGUAAAGCGCACGCAGGCGGUCUGUCAAGUCGGAUGUGAAAUCCCCGGGCUCGACCUGGGAACUGCAUUCGAAACUGGCAGGCUAGAGUCUUGUAGAGGGGGGUAGAGUUCCAGGUGUAGCGGUGAAAUGCGUAGAGAUCUGGAGGAAUACCGGUGGCGAAGGCGGCCCCCUGGACAAAGACUGACGCUCAGGUGCGAAAGCGUGGGGAGCAAACAGGAUUAGAUACCCUAGUAGUC
RNAcentral lists this ribosomal RNA (465 nucleotides) under uncultured Klebsiella sp. RNAcentral describes it as "bacterial SSU rRNA". It matches the Rfam family "Bacterial small subunit ribosomal RNA", at positions 338 to 795 of the family's 1533-position model. The record is from RNAcentral. Lineage: Bacteria; Pseudomonadati; Pseudomonadota; Gammaproteobacteria; Enterobacterales; Enterobacteriaceae.